RNAcentral lists this ribosomal RNA (253 nucleotides) under uncultured bacterium. Its description in RNAcentral is "partial 16S ribosomal RNA". It matches the Rfam family "Bacterial small subunit ribosomal RNA", at positions 524 to 776 of the family's 1533-position model. The record is from RNAcentral.
UACGUAGGGUGCAAGCGUUGUCCGGAAUUAUUGGGCGUAAAGAGCUUGUAGGCGGUUUGUCGCGUCUGCUGUGAAAUUUCGGGGCUCAACCCCGAACUUGCAGUGGGUACGGGCAGGCUAGAGUGUGGUAGGGGAGACUGGAAUUCCUGGUGUAGCGGUGAAAUGCGCAGAUAUCAGGAGGAACACCGAUGGCGAAGGCAGGUCUCUGGGCCACUACUGACGCUGAGGAGCGAAAGCAUGGGGAGCGAACAGG